UGCAGGCCAAAGAUCCAUACGAGCGUCCUGUUUUCCAUGUUCGUUUGUUGGAGAACAUACCUGUGAAAGGGGAUGGUGAUGAUGAUUUACAGACAAGUACUUCAAAAGGACCUUGGUAUGAUGAAGACAAUGCAGCCCAUUUGCCAUCAGAGAAUAGCAGCAAUGGUGAUGCUGCGAAUGAAUUUGAACCUGGCUCUAAGCUCGAGGACCUCAAUUUGGAUGUUAGAAAGAACUCCAAAUGACGUGCAGGGAAGAU
This is a long non-coding RNA of Eucalyptus grandis, 256 nucleotides long. RefSeq lists it as uncharacterized. NCBI's taxonomy places the organism in Eukaryota, Viridiplantae, Streptophyta, Magnoliopsida, Myrtales, Myrtaceae. The record is from RefSeq and is a predicted model, not a curated record. The transcript has 3 exons.